Molecule: RNA transcript, 5758 nt
Organism: Etheostoma cragini (Arkansas darter)
Lineage: Eukaryota; Metazoa; Chordata; Actinopteri; Perciformes; Percidae
Gene: thoc2
Gene name: THO complex 2
Exons: 39
Source: RefSeq, a predicted model, not a curated record
CGCCUCAGUGUCCCACCAUGCAACAGUGAGCUAGCAGCAGCAGCAGCUAACCACCACAUUUGACCCUUCGUGUGCCAUGAUGAAUUAGACAUCCGGGCUGUGCGUAUGGAAGAUGGCGACACUUAUCCUCCCUGGUGAAUGGAUCAAAAACUGGGAAAAAUCAGGAAAACACGAGUUUGUACAACUCUGCAAAGAACUCACAGAAAAAACAGAUCAUGGAAGUGACAUUAGAGACAUACAGGCCGCCUUAUACGAGCUCUGCUGGCAAGUUGUACAUGGGAACCUGAAGUUGGAUCUUGUCGCCAGCGUCCUUGGGGACAUGAUGGAACUCCGAGAUGACAUGCCAUCAAUUUUAGCAGAUGUUUUCAGUAUACUAGAUUUAGAGACUGGUGCACUGGAAGAAAAAAACAAACGUGAACAUUACACACAACUGGUGGGGGCAUGUUUGUUUUUUGUUCCUGAGGCCAUCCUGAAAGAGAGGCUGGAUCCAGAAACCCUUGAAUCUCUUGGACUUAUAAAACAAGCCCAUCAGUUCAAUCAGAAGAUUGUAAAAAUCAAGACUAAAUUAUUUUACAAGCAGCAGAAGUUUAACUUGCUAAGGGAGGAGAACGAGGGCUAUGCCAAACUUAUCACUGAGCUUGGCCAAGAACUCUCAGGCAACAUCACCAGCCACCUUGUCCUGGAGAGCAUCAAGUCCCUCAUAGGAUGUUUCAACUUGGACCCUAAUCGUGUUUUGGACAUCAUCCUGGAGGUGUACGAGAGUCGAUCUGACCAAGAUGAGUUCUUCCUGUCCCUCAUCAAGUCCUACAUGUGUGAGCCACUCACCCUUUGCCACAUCCUGGGCUUUAAGUUCAAAUUCUACCAGGAGCCAAAUGAGGAAACUCCCAAAUCACUUUACCACAUUGCUGCUGCUCUGCUUCACCAUAACCUGAUAGAGCUGGAAGAUCUCUACGUACAUCUUAUGCCAGUAGAUGCCACCAUUAUAGAGGAACACAAACGAGAUAUCUCAGAGGCCAAGCAGAUUGCUCGCAAGCUGGUUAUGGUUGUGUUGCCCUCAGAAAAAAGUGAAGACAAAGACAAGGAGAAAGAAAAGGAGGAGGAGAAGAACGAGAAGCCACCUGAUAACCAGAAGCUUGGGCUGUUGGAAGCGCUGCUUAGAAUUGGAGACUGGCACAACGCCCAAAGUAUUAUGGACCAGAUGCCGUCCUUCUAUGCUACUUCUCACAAGGCCAUUGCGCUGGCACUCUGCCAGCUUGUGCACCUGACUGUGGAACCUCUUUACAGAAGGGCUGGCCUUCCAAAAGGGGCAAGGGGAUGUGUGAUGCAUCCACUGAGGAGCAAGCGAGCCCCUCGGCCUGCAGAGAACUUUGAGGACCUACGCAGGGACACAUUCAGCAUGAUCUGCUACCUAGGUCCUCACCUCUCUCAUGACCCAAUCCUCUUUGCCAAGAUUGUGCGUCUGGGCAAGUCCUUCAUGAAAGAGUAUCAAAGUGAUGGCAGACCUGAUGUCAAAGACAAAAUGGAAACGUUAUUGAGUUGUUUCCUGAGUAUUGCAGAUCAGGUGCUACUCCCUUCUCUUUCUCUGAUGGAGUGCAAUGCUUGCAUGUCCGAGGAACUGUGGGGUCUCUUUAAACUCUUUCCGUACCAGCACAGGUACCGGUUAUAUGGACAGUGGAAGAAUGAGACAUAUACCAGCCAUCCACUGUUGGUUAAAGUCAAAGCUCAGACUGUGGAAAGGGCCAAAUACAUAAUGAAGCGGUUGACCAAAGAGAAUGUGAAACAAUCUGGAAGGCAGAUUGGAAAACUGAGCCAUAGCAAUCCCACCAUUCUCUUUGAUUAUAUGCUGUCUCAGAUCCAGUGGUACGACAACCUAAUCGUUCCAGUGGUGGACUCCUUGAAAUACCUCACAUCCCUCAACUAUGAUGUCUUGGCCUAUUGCAUCAUUGAGGCUCUGGCAAAUCCUGAGAAGGAGAAGAUGAAACAUGAUGACACCACCAUUUCCUCAUGGCUUCAGAGCCUGGCAAGCCUGUGUGGAGCCGUGUUCAGAAAAUACCCAAUUGAGUUGGCUGGCCUUCUUCAAUAUGUCACCAAUCAGCUAAAAGCAGGAAAGAGUUUUGACCUGUUGAUCCUGAAAGAGGUGGUGCAGAAAAUGGCUGGCAUUGAAAUCACAGAUGAGAUGACUUCUGAGCAGUUAGAGGCCAUGACCGGAGGGGAGCAACUCAAAGCUGAGGGUGGCUAUUUCGGUCAGAUCAGGAACACUAAGAAGUCAUCACAGCGUUUGAAGGAUGCACUGCUGGACCAUGAAUUGGCCUUGCCUCUGUGUUUACUCAUGGCCCAGCAACGAAAUGGUGUGGUUUUCUUAGAGGGCGGAGAGAAACACCUUAAACUCGUUGGCCACCUCUAUGACCAGUGUCAUGACACGUUGUUGCAGUUUGGUGGCUUUCUGGCCUCCAACCUUAGCACUGAGGACUACAUCAAGCGGGUUCCCUCCAUUGACAUCCUCUGUAACCAGUUCCACACGCCACAUGAUGCUGCCUUCUUCCUGUCUCGGCCAAUGUAUGCCCAUCAGAUUUUGUCUAAGUACGAUGAGCUGAAAAAAACAGAGAAAGGCAACCGGCAGCAGCAGAAGGUACACAAGUAUGUUGCAGCAUGUGAACAGGUGAUGACACCAGUGCAUGAGGCUGUAGUGUCCCUCCAUCCAGCCAGGGUCUGGGACGAUCUCCGCCCUCAGUUCUACGCCACCUUCUGGUCCCUCACCAUGUAUGACCUGGCUGUUCCACAUUCUGCCUACGAGCGUGAGGUCAACAAGCUCAAGGUCCAGAUCAAGGCCAUUGAGGAAAACCCGGAGAUACCCUUGAAUAAGAAAAAGAAGGAAAAGGAACGCUGCACUGCCCUGCAAGAAAAACUGCAGGAGGAGGAGAAGAAGCAGCUGGAGCACGUCCAAAGGGUUCUACACCGUCUCAAACUUGAGAAAGACAACUGGUUGUUAGCAAAAUCCACAAAGAACGAAACGAUAACAAAGUUCCUGCAGCUCUGUCUGUUCCCUCGCUGCAUCUUCUCUUCCAUCGACGCUGUGUAUUGUGCCCGUUUUGUCGAGCUGGUCCACCAGCAGAAGACACCCAACUUCUGCACCCUCCUGUGCUAUGACAGGGUGUUCUCCGCCAUCAUUUACACUGUGGCCAGCUGUACGGAGAAUGAGUCUCACCGCUACGGACGCUUCCUCUCCUGUAUGCUAGAGACAGUGACCCGUUGGCACAGCGACCGCGCAAUCUAUGAGAAGGAGUGUGUCAAUUACCCAGGAUUCCUGACCAUCUUCAGAGCCACAGGCUUCGACGGCGGGAACAAAGCAGAUCAACUGGAUUAUGAGAACUUCCGGCAUGUGGUGCACAAGUGGCACUACAUGCUGACUAAAGCUUCGGUUCACUGCCUGGAGACAGGAGAUUACACCCACAUCCGGAAUAUUCUCAUUGUGCUCACAAAGAUCCUGCCCUGCUACCCUAAGGUCCUAAACCUGGGCCAAGCGCUGGAGUGCCGUGUCCACAAGAUCUGCCUCGAGGAGAAGGACAAGAGGCCAGACCUCUAUGCCUUAGCAAUGGGUUAUUCAGGUCGUUUGAAAGGCCAGAAGGUGCAUAUGGUCCCUGAGAAUGAGUUUCAUCAUAAGGAGCAGCCAGCACGCAGUUCCACCCCUGCCAAUCAACAGAACGGCCCCGGCAGCACAGGCAAGCCUGCCACCAGCACAAUCAAGACAGAGGAGGGGACAGAGGACGGUGAUCGGGGCAAGGAUAAAUCUCAGGGGACCACAAAGCCAGUGAACAAAGCCAACAGUGCAGCGGCCAAAGUGACCACCAGCAACGGGAACGGUGCUCUUAACAGCACCAAAGCCAUUAAAGAACGAGACGACAAAGAGAAAAGUGGGAAGGAGAAAAAAGAGAAAAAGGAAAAGACACCAGGCAGCACUCCUGAGACCAAGGCGGAGAACCGUCGGGAGAAGCAGAGAGACGAGAGAGCAGGAAAGGAGGAGCGGGUGGCACGUGAGGGUAAGGACAAGACCCCCAAGGCAGACAGGGAGAAAGUGAAGGCUGAGGAGAAGAGCGGCAAAGACGACAAGGCCAAAGCCGGCAACGGGGAGCCCAUGGAGCCGUCCAGGGAGCGUGAUGCCAUCAAGGAGUCCAAGAGCAAGGAGAAAGGAGACAGAGGAGCUGUGGCCGGGUCCCUCAAGUCACCAGUUCCCAGAUCGGAGUCAGCCGAAUCGGAGAGGGAUCACAAAAGACGAAAGCUCGACAGUCACUCUUCUCCGUCCCACUCCUCGUCUGUUAAGGACAAUAGCAACGAACCCAAGGAGUCCACAUCCAAGCACCACGCCAACUACAAUUCAGUUUCCCGGUCCAAGAGCAGAGAGAGAGAGAUGGAGAAGAAAGAUUCAGACGGCACACAAGGCCGAUCCAAAGAGAAGAAGGAAGACAAGGAUCGGAAAGACAGGAAAAGAGACAAUGCUGUCAAUGACCGUGAGACGAGCCAAGAGUCCAAACGUAAAAAGGAUGAGAAUGGAACGAAUUCCACCAAAAACAGUCCUGCCGGUGACUCCCCGCUUUCAGCUGAAAAGGAGAAGAGCAAAAGAUCCAAAUCUUCCAGUAAAGAGAAGGCCGAGUCUGUGAAACCCGAGCGAACAUCCUCUGGAGGCAAAAAGGAGUCCAGACACGACAAAGAGAAAUCUGAAAAGAAAGAGAAGAGGGACAGCAGCGGAGGAAAAGAAGAGAAAAAGCAUCAUAAAUCCUCUGACAAGCACAGAUAAUGUGCACUCAUCGGUGAAGGUAAGACACUUUCAACUUCUUUGUAAACGGCUGUCAAUACAACAUCUCCGUGGUCAGUAUUUCAUGUGUUUUCUCUCCUCUGGUCCACAGCCGAACUGGAGAAGCUUUGUUUUUAUCUGCGAGACAUCUGCAACUUCAUCUGUGCUAUAUUAUUAACCCGUGCUGUCAUUUCUGCCUGUGUUUGCUGUAAAUUCCUCUCCCAAGUGUUGUUAGCUGUAGUUAUCUCAACUUACAGAUCACCUCAUUAUUUUUCGGUUUCAGUAUACAGCAAACCACCUGAAAUGUUUUUUUUUAUUAUUAUUAUUAUUAUUCAGUAUGGGCACAAUGUGCUGCUCUUAUCAAAAUGUUAUUGUAAUUAGAACAGUGGUUAAUGUAUGAAAUGAUCUCUUGGUAACGGGGUCAUGGAUUCAAUAAUCUCAUGUUUGAAACUUUGUAUUUUUUGUACGUCGUCAGGCUUUUCUUUUUGCUCGGUUCAUUGGCGUUAACAUGCUUUCCAUACUCACUUACCUCAUAUCCUUUUGAGAUACUUAGAUACUUUUAUUUAUUUAUCUCCACCUUUUAAUCUGAGUAAGACAGUAAACUAGGAUGUGAGGAAAAUGAUACAAAGGACCAGUUUGUAUAUUGUGUACAAUAAUAAAGAGGGUAACAUGAAAUUCACAUCAUGUUAUUUCUUCUUUUCCUUUUUUUUUGGUGUCCCUUACAGUCCUUCUGUGAUUUUGUGUUAAUCAGGUUUUUACAUAAUUUAUAAAAAUGCCAGUUCCAUCUUGAUUCAAAUGUAGAAUUGUAAAGAAAAAUCAGACAAAAUGCUGAACCUCUGUACUCCAAAUACCACUGUUUCGAAAGGAUUUUUGGAGAUUUUAUCUGCUGUACUCAAUGAGUGUAAGCUUUUCUUUUAAAAAAAACAACAAAAAACAAUAAAUAAUAGUUUUCCUAGUGUGUUACUUUGA